UACGAAGGGGGCUAGCGUUGCUCGGAAUCACUGGGCGUAAAGGGUGCGUAGGCGGGUCUUUAAGUCAGGGUGAAAUCCUGGAGCUCAACUCCAGAACUGCCCUUGAUACUGAGGAUCUUGAGUUCGGGAGAGGUGAGUGGAACUGCGAGUGUAGAGGUGAAAUUCGUAGAUAUUCGCAAGAACACCAGUGGCGAAGGCGGCUCACUGGCCCGGUACUGACGCUGAGGUGGCGAAAGCGUGGGGAGCAAACAGG
RNAcentral lists this ribosomal RNA (253 nucleotides) under uncultured bacterium. RNAcentral's name for it is "partial 16S ribosomal RNA". It matches the Rfam family "Bacterial small subunit ribosomal RNA", at positions 524 to 776 of the family's 1533-position model. The record is from RNAcentral.